RNAcentral lists this ribosomal RNA (253 nucleotides) under uncultured bacterium. RNAcentral's name for it is "partial 16S ribosomal RNA". It matches the Rfam family "Bacterial small subunit ribosomal RNA", at positions 524 to 776 of the family's 1533-position model. The record is from RNAcentral.
UACGAAGGGGGCUAGCGUUGUUCGGAAUUACUGGGCGUAAAGCGCACGUAGGCGGAUAUUUAAGUCAGGGGUGAAAUCCCUCGGCUCAACUGAGGAACUGCCUUUGAAACUGAGGAGCUUGAGUCCGGGAGGGGGUAGCGGAAUUCCCAGUGUAGCGGUGAAAUGCGUAGAUAUUGGGAGGAACACCAGUGGCGAAGGCGGCUACCUGGACCGGAACUGACGCUGAGGCGCGAAAGCGUGGGUAGCAAACAGG